CAAUAGCAUAUAUUAACGUUGUUGCAGUUGAAAAGCUCGUAGUUGAACUUUUGGUAGGAGCGACCUGGCCUUGGGCGCAUGCCCUUGUUUGCCGUGUGUCGUGUCUGGCCAUCCUUUUCUUCUUUUUGGAAGGAAUCUUUUACUGUGAGUAAACUGGAGUGCUCAAAACAAGACGUUUGUUUGGUACAUUAAAGCAUGGAAUAUUAAGAUAGGACCUGGUUACUAUUUUGUUGGUUUGCAUAGCUAGGUAAUGAUUAACAGGGACAGUUGGGGGUAUUCGUAUUUAAUUGUCAGAGGUGAAAUUCUUGGAUUUAUGAAAGACGAACGACUGCGAAAGCAUUUACCAAGGAUGUUUUCAUUAA
This 362-nucleotide ribosomal RNA is filed under the name uncultured eukaryote. RNAcentral's name for it is "partial 18S ribosomal RNA". It matches the Rfam family "Eukaryotic small subunit ribosomal RNA", at positions 592 to 976 of the family's 1831-position model. The record is from RNAcentral.